ACCUGGAACAGCUCAGUCAGUAAAGCAUAAGAUUCUUAAUCUCAGGGUUGUGGGUUCAAGCCCCACAUUGGGCA
RNAcentral lists this transfer RNA (74 nucleotides) under Podarcis lilfordi (Lilford's wall lizard). Its description in RNAcentral is "tRNA.Lys". The stretch from base 10 to 66 matches the Rfam family "tRNA", at positions 9 to 63 of the family's 71-position model. Rfam says of the family: Transfer RNA (tRNA) molecules are approximately 80 nucleotides in length. Their secondary structure includes four short double-helical elements and three loops (D, anti-codon, and T loops). The record is from RNAcentral. Lineage: Eukaryota; Metazoa; Chordata; Lepidosauria; Squamata; Lacertidae.